Molecule: long non-coding RNA, 418 nt
Organism: Lacerta agilis (Sand lizard)
Lineage: Eukaryota; Metazoa; Chordata; Lepidosauria; Squamata; Lacertidae
Exons: 3
Source: RefSeq, a predicted model, not a curated record
CACAUGGGCGGGAGAGGCAGGGAGGGGCCAAAGGAGCAGGACAAGUCGCCAGAUUGGAUCUGGAAAGGAACCAGUUUAAUCCCACCAUCAGGACAAGGAGCUGCCAGCAAGCAGGGGCCAGCCUCCGGAGAUCAGGCAAGAAGAUCUCUCUCUCUCUCUCUCUCUCUCUCUCUCUCUCUUUCCCUCUUCUGCAGCGGAGACAGCAGCUGCUGGGUGGAGCAGCCCUCCAGGGAAAAUGCAGCAGGACAGAAGCAUCAUCACCACAGGCAACGUGCAAGAGGCUGGUCUCCCUGCCACCUCUGAUCUGACUCUAAUCAACAGGAAGUGAGCCCCGCUGGCAGGAAAGGUGUGUGAAGUGCAGAGCACUGCAAGUUGGAUAUGAGGACCAAGGGCCUGAGCCAAAGAGUUCGUGGAAAAG